GUCCAGGUGGGUCCAGAUCCUGCCGCGCGCUCUGCCUCUCUCCGCUGCUCCUCUCUCUCCUCCCCCACAUCUCCCUGUCUCACCUUGUCCCAGUGGAAGAAGGAAGUGUCAGGUCAGACCCUCUGAAGCCCACCGGCCCAGUUCGUGAUAGGAAGCGGCAGUUUGUGCCGAUCUGAAGCCCAGGAUGAGGCGCAAGGAGCGGCGGGCCCCGCGGCCUCAGGCGGGGUGAAGAAACAAAGAGGAGGCUCCCUCCGGUCGGUGCAGGCAGCAGCAUGCCCGGUUCUCCCUCCGGGCCCAGCAGGACGUGACUCAACAGCCCGAACCGCCCACAGGUCCCCGCCUAACGCUCCGAACCUCAGCGCUCUGGACGGAUUUUCAGCUCAACGCAUCUUUAUACAGAUGGACGAAUAAUGUUGGACUGAAGCUUUAAACUUAUUAAAUAAUUCAAUUCA
Long non-coding RNA from Poecilia latipinna (sailfin molly), 452 nucleotides. RefSeq lists it as uncharacterized. The transcript has 2 exons. The record is from RefSeq and is a predicted model, not a curated record. NCBI's taxonomy places the organism in Eukaryota, Metazoa, Chordata, Actinopteri, Cyprinodontiformes, Poeciliidae.